AAGUUGUAUGAAAGGAGAGAAGGUUAGCACUCCUCUUGAUAAGGAUGGAAGAGGUCCUAGUGGCCUUUACAGCACAUAUACUAACCAUAUACAAAGUAGUUAAAUAUCAGAU
This 112-nucleotide non-coding RNA is filed under the name Notamacropus eugenii (tammar wallaby). Lineage: Eukaryota; Metazoa; Chordata; Mammalia; Diprotodontia; Macropodidae. The record is from RNAcentral.